UACCAGCACCCCGAGUGGUCGGGACGAUUAUUGGGCCUAAAGCAUCCGUAGCCGGUUUUACAAGUCCUCGGUUAAAUCCAGCUGCUUAACAGAUGGGCUGCGGAGGAUACUAUAAGACUAGGAGGCAGGAGAGGCAAGCGGUACUCAGUGGGUAGGGGUAAAAUCCGUUGAUCCAUUGAAGACCACCAGUGGCGAAGGCGGCUUGCCAGAAUGCGCUCGACGGUGAGGGAUGAAAGCUGGGGGAGCAAACCGG
Molecule: ribosomal RNA, 253 nt
Filed under: uncultured bacterium
Lineage: Bacteria
Description: partial 16S ribosomal RNA
Rfam family: Archaeal small subunit ribosomal RNA
Source: RNAcentral